CCAGAUGAUAAAGAUUGCACCUCUGCAAUUCUUAAUCGAUCCACGUGAAGUUAAACGCAUCCAAAUCACAUUAGAACAAGCGGGAAGAAAAAAUAUUACGGCGAAUCACAUCAUAGCGAUCAAAAAGAAGCAAAGAAAGCAAGAAUUCGGAAUCAUAUUGCGUUCUUGGACUGAUCUAAUGGCAGAAUGGAAAUCAAGAAGCUUGUAUGACCCGGUCCCUUGAUCACCGAGAACAAAGCUUUCUCCCACGCGAAUGUUAAAGCAAGGGCGGAAAAGUUCGGAAAGAAAAAAAAAAAAAGAAUACAUGAGAGGAGGGGAGGAAGAGGACUCCGAUCGGGAGUCUUCUUCCCUCCCGAAUCCAUUAAAAACCAUAACUGAGAAAACGCCUUCCUUAGAUUUUCAUCAUCAAAUUUGUGAGAAAACGCCGCCGAUUCCGAGUUCUUCAUCGAGUCCUUUCUUUGGGAUUUCGCCGAGAGAUCGCCGGUUUCCCCUUUUUCAGCCUUCUCGGAUCUAGGUAAGUUAUUUAAGACUUUAUUGCACUCUUUUCCCAGGCUUAUUGCCUCCGAUUAGAGCCGGCAAACCGCCGGAUUUGGGCAAGAAUGGGGUCUCCCCUGCUCCGAGUUUUCUUCCUCUAUUUUGCCCACCACCGGCGGCAGUGGCCGCUAACGGGGUCAUGUCCCAGUCUGUGCCGGGUGCUGCCGUUGGCCACCGGCCAGGAUUCCACGGCCUUGGCCGGAUGAAAAGGGGAGAAGAACAGAGGUUCCGGUGCUCUGUUUUGAAGAAGAAGAAGAAGGGAGUGAGAGGCCUGCCUCUCCCCUCUCCUUUUUUAUUUUGCUUCUUC
This 841-nucleotide long non-coding RNA is filed under the name Elaeis guineensis (African oil palm). Its description in RNAcentral is "long non-coding RNA (EGUI_LNC011652)". Lineage: Eukaryota; Viridiplantae; Streptophyta; Magnoliopsida; Arecales; Arecaceae. The record is from RNAcentral.